UUGAACGCUGGCGGCAUGCCUUACACAUGCAAGUCGAACGGUAGAGGGGCAACCCUUGAGAGUGGCGAACGGGUGAGUAAUAUAUCGGAACGUGCCCAGUCGUGGGGGAUAACGCAGCGAAGGCUGCGCUAAUACCGCAUACGAUCUAUGGAUGAAAGCGGGGGAUCGCAAGACCUCGCGCGAUUGGAGCGGCCGAUAUCAGAUUAGGUAGUUGGUGGGGUAAAAGCCCACCAAGCCGACGAUCUGUAGCUG
Molecule: ribosomal RNA, 252 nt
Filed under: uncultured bacterium
Lineage: Bacteria
Description: partial 16S ribosomal RNA
Rfam family: Bacterial small subunit ribosomal RNA
Source: RNAcentral